Long non-coding RNA from Phoenix dactylifera (date palm), 1262 nucleotides. RefSeq lists it as uncharacterized. NCBI's taxonomy places the organism in Eukaryota, Viridiplantae, Streptophyta, Magnoliopsida, Arecales, Arecaceae. The record is from RefSeq and is a predicted model, not a curated record.
CAUGUCGCUGGGGGCUCUGCCGCCUAUAUGUACGGCCUCACGGACCUCCUCCCCUACCUCCAUUACUCUCUGCUUGGUUCGGUGAAGAAGGGAAGAGGAGGAGAGGAAGGGGUGUCAUGAGACGCGCACGGCGUGGAACGGUCAACGUUGAGGAGUUCGGUCGUGCCACGCUGUGUGCGUCUCAUGGGCUCUCUCCGAUGGAAAUCCGGAGUGCCUCCGAGGCGUCGCCGGUACCUGUCGUUAGAGAUUUUCUCGCCAUUAGAUAGAUCAACUCCCGCAGCACGUAGCAUCCAUGGCAUGGUUACUCAUGGGGCGAAGGUACAAAUCUAACCCAAGGGUUCUGUUCCUCUACAUAUAUAUAUAUAUAUAUUAUACUACGUACGGAACUACGCGAACGUAGUUUACGGGGUCUUCUUGAUACAAGGAUGGCCCAUCCAGAUGGAUGUUAUCGUGCAUCUCUGACUUGGGUUGUGGUCUUCGUCGAACCCCCUUGGGUGUCUACGUACAGCCACAGGCAUUAAUCCAUGUGAUCUUCUGUCUUCUCAUGGUAACUCAACAGUUCUAGUCAUGGCUAGCUGUGUUGUCCUCCAUGAAAACUGGGUUUCAUCACUUUUUUCUUUGAGCUCUUUUUUUUUAAAAGGUAGCAGGUACAUAAGAUAUGCAAGGAGUAUAUAUAUUGGUUACCUCUGCGACCACCGGAAGAGGCUUUCGUUUGAGUCCCAUGCACCUGGUGUCGCGCUCGCCGCGUGCCAGCGGACAGGAUGGACUCCGAGUUGAGAGCGGACGGCAGAUCUGACGCUCGUAUAGAAUUGUGUGCGCGAAGCAACAUCAACGCUCAUUUGAUUACGUCACGUAUGACGGCAAAGUCGGGCCGGACGGAAGGGGGACAGACUUGUAUCUUUCGCGCGAAUGAAGGAUUCACCUUCCUUCGCGCGAACUCACCGUUGGAUCGCACAAUGGUUAUUUCGAGAUCUGCGUAGGCAGAUGAACGGAAGAUUCGGAGUGCUUUGAGAUCGGGGGAAGUCAGAUUUUCUGUCGGAAGUACGGUGUACUUUUUGUUGUUGGUAAGUUGGACGAUAUAAUUUCAAGAUGGACGGUGUGAUGAUCGUAUCUCAACGUCACGCCUGGCGCGACAGGAUAUGCAUCAACCGAGAAUAUUUUUAGCAGCUGGCGUACCGCCGAAUCUCACACGAUAUAUAAAUAUUUCCUGUACCUUAUCGUGUACUAGCUAUAAGAAGAAAUUGUUUAUUGCUGUUGGUCUC